GUUGAAUGUCUUAGGAUUAUUAACAAAUCCUGGAGGCACAAUAUAAAGAAAAGUACUGAAAACGGAUGACUUGAGUUAAAUUCUAAGCUUCUAUAUUUGCUUCUUGUAUGGCGUAGCUGAUUUUUUAGCUUCAAGCUUAUGAUAGGUUACCGUGCAAAUCCUACAACAUCACACAUGAACAUUCUUUGAAAACUGUAAGAACUAAAGGAAUAUUUUACUAGGACUAUAAUCAACGUCAGGAAACCCUGAGUCCAGCUCCAUGUCCUCCAAUCCUAUCUGUUUGCUUAGCUCCCGCUCCACCCGCCUCCCUGGUUCUCGCCCGGCCUCGGGGUCUUCCACUUUCCUGUCUCUAGGCCCAGAAUCCCACCACGCACGGUCAUUCUGGGCUCCCGGGCUAAGCAGUUUCUGGCCCGCACAGGGACGGCCAGCUGGCGAGGUGAGUGGGAGCCAAACUCCAGCCCUGUCCACUCCCCCAUCGUCUGCCCGGGCGCGGGAUGGCACCUGCCUGGAGAGGAGGGCACCUUUCCCUUCACGAAGAGACCCUGUCUGCUCACCACGCCACAGGCCACUAGGAUCCACGCUUUCCAAAGGAACACUUUUCUAGUAGAUCAGCGUAAGGGAGGAGCUUUCAAAAAACCUCUGUAUUUCCGGGGUGGGGGUGGGGGUCCAAUAUGCAUAAAAGCACCCAACACACAGAAGUCUGACGUCCUCAUUCCUCCAGGCCUCUGUGCAGCACCUGUCCGCUUCGCUGCGAGGGCUCCUUCUCAGUGCCCAGCUGAAAACAGUGGUCCCUCCCAUCCCUGUCCCCCAUCGCCCUUUGUUUUUAGCGCCUACCUGCACCCCCCCCCCCCCCCACACGUGGCUCCACAAGGGCAGGGACUCUGUCUCCUUUGUGCUGCGCUCCCAAGACCCAGAACAGUAUCAGGCACGCGGUGGCGGUCAGCACAUUGGUGAGUGCAGGAAUGAAAUCAAUCUAGUUCAGAGAAACCACAAACUUCUGCACACUGAUGGCCCUUCUGGGAGCACAGGCCUCACAGCCUCAGAGAUGCACAACUGUAACAGGUUUGCACAGGUGUCUCACUUCUUUCCAGGGGACUGCCUGCUGCCAUGAGGGGCUCACAAGGACAAAUCCCUGAGCUGGGUGGCAGCAGUCAGGAAGGUUAGGAGGCCUCACCUUCCCAACUACAAAAGCAUCCCUUUGGUAAUCCAGGAAAGGGAUUUCUGACUCACAAAGGUUAAAGUAGAUCUACCUGAUAAGGACGCAGUAGGGACUCCCUCCAUCCCACGGACCACCACCCCAGAUGUUACAUAUAAACAUGCUCUCGGAGAUCCAGUAAUUAUUUUAGUCAGUUUUUAGUCAUCAGUAACAGAGGAAGGAGAAGCUCACAUGACCGACCCACUGGUUGUGAGAACGUGCUCCUGUUCCUCACCCUGUUGAGAAAAUCCAUUACUUUCCCAAUCAGUCAUGGAACCAAAAGGAGAGAAUGGCUCAUUAGAGUCAGCGAUAUUAUUCAUUGACUUUAGGAUGCUUCCUGCCUUGAAAAAGAUGAAUGGCAUUGCAUGGGUCCCAUUAACAGGUGGUCAGGAAUACAGGUAAUUCCCCGAGAAUAAUCAGUGACAACUGUUUAUACACAUACACUCGACUCCUAUACAUGAUUUUAGGGGUAUCUUCAUAAAUAGAUUAGGUAAGAUGUGGGGAAUAAGGGCACUGUCAUAUAUUUAUAUGCAUAUUUUAUUAUGUAGGUGCCUCACAGAAAAUUUGACUUUCAAUAGUCAGAAACACAUUCAACUCUUCUAACUGCAUCAAAUAGUUUCUGAUGAAGGCAUGGCAUACACAGAGUCAGAACUGUGAAGAAAAUUUUAAAUUUUGUAUUAACCACUGCCCCAAUUUUUUUACAGCAAUGUUGGGGAAAAAGCCAAACUAGGUCAAUUUUCAGCUUUUUUAAAAAAAGAGGAGUUCCAUAAUUUACCUUGGAAGCUGGAAAAAAGAAAGAUGCUUUGCAGAACUUUAAGGGCUACCUUCAUUUUACACGACAACUAACUAGAAGGCAAAUUAGUGCUCUCUCUGAUGUCAUCGAGUUAACCAGUGUCAGACUCCUGGAACUCAGAUUUCCACUUCUCUCCAGCUUCUCUCACCACAUCAUAGAUCUUGCUCACAUUAUUUCUUCACUAGGGGUCAUAAGUUUUUUGAAAAAUUUAUUUUGAAGACUUACACUUCACACUUGAGAAUCAAAUUUAAGAGAGACUUCUAACAGGAGAUCGACUCAACAAAUCUCACAUAUUCAUACAAAAAAUUAUACUCCUAUAAAAGCACUCAUAAUUCUUUUGCAUCUAUGUUCUCGCAUCACUCAGAUCUUACAAGUCUUAUCUCAGAUGAACACAAGUCUUCUAAAAUCUUACCAUAGAUAGUGGAGCACAGAGGAAGCCACACAGUCAAUCCACCUACACACACAGGGCUCCAGCCUCAAUGGAGUUCCAGCCAUCAAUGUUUAGAGCUUCUGAGAACAUCACUCGACUACCACUCAACUAACUCUCAGUCUACCGUAAUAGUCUUUUACCCAUUUCCCUGGCCCCUCUCUCUCCCUGAAGUGUAUUUUUUUUAAAUACCCACACCAAGUUCUAUUUCCCUCCCUUUACUCUAAGGGAGAAAAAUUUCCAUCUGUUCAAGGUCAGUUGUUUCGACAAUUAAUCUGUCACCUGAGACUUGCUCCAUCAGUUAUUACACGGCUCUUUAUAAAUAAUAAACAUCCCCCUCUGUACCAGCUGCUUCCAACUGGUUUAUAAAUAUAUUCCAUACUUAAAAAUAUUUUUUAUAUUAAAAAAAAUUCCAUGGCCAUUCUGGCCGAGGGACAAAGUUUUUGUGCUUGCAAGAGGUAAGAGAUGUAGUACCAAGGUCUGUCCCAAACUUCUUAGCUGUGUGACCUUGGUAAAUUCUCUCUAAAGAUCGGUUCUAUUUGGUUCCCUUAUCUGCACCAUAGAGCAAUACUUAUUACUUUAUAAGAUCAAAUGAGGCAAUGCAUGUAAAGCAUGUAUCAUUGUGCCUGGCAUUGAAAAAUGUUAUGUUUUCAAUUCAUAAUAUAAUAAUUAUUUGUGCUAUUUAAAGGUAUUAAUAUAAAAUGAAAAAAAAAAAAAAAA
Molecule: long non-coding RNA, 3135 nt
Filed under: Canis lupus familiaris (dog)
Lineage: Eukaryota; Metazoa; Chordata; Mammalia; Carnivora; Canidae
Description: lncRNA (ENSCAFG00845010199.1)
Source: RNAcentral